AAUCAACGCUGGCGGCGUGCCUAACACAUGCAAGUCGAACGCGAAAGCCCGCAAGGGUGAGUAGAGUGGCGCACGGGUGAGUAACACGUGGACAACCUGCCUUCGAGUGGGGAAUAACCUUCCGAAAGGAGGGCUAAUACCGCAUAACACCUCGGGACACAAGUUCUGGGGUUGAAAAGAGCAAUUUGCUCGAAGAGGGGUCCGCGCCUGAUUAGCUAGUUGGUGAGGUAACGGCUCACCAAGGCUUCGAUCAGUAGCCGUCCUGAGAGGGAGCACGGCCACACUGGAACUGAGACACGGUCCAGACUCCUACGGGUGGCUG
This 322-nucleotide ribosomal RNA is filed under the name uncultured Acidobacteriota bacterium. Its description in RNAcentral is "bacterial SSU rRNA". It matches the Rfam family "Bacterial small subunit ribosomal RNA", at positions 32 to 351 of the family's 1533-position model. The record is from RNAcentral. Lineage: Bacteria; Pseudomonadati; Acidobacteriota.